GGAAGGGAAAGAAACCUCACCUGGGCCUCUCUCAAAUGUUACAGUGACAGGGGCCUCUUAUAGUAUGCCCGGUGGGCACAGCUUCACUAUGUGCCCAUAGGGAGCCAGGAGCAGGUGGAAGAAGGCUUCAAGGAGCUCCCUUCACUAAGCACAGGAGCGAGAGAUCUCAUUCCAAGGGAAAGAACGCUUCUGAGAUUAACAGCGCAAGACGCUUGUGCGAACGUCCCGAGGCGACAGAACAAAAACUUCAUGAACUGAGGGCUCCAACCAGGUUCACCGACCCACGGAUCCUGAGGCUGGACAUCUGAGGUCAAGCUGUCUCAGGGCUGGGUCCUCUGAGGCAGCUCCUCUUCGCCCGCAGAUGUGUCCUCAAUGGGUCCUCCCUCUGUGUGUCCUGAGGACACAGUCCUGCUGGCUCAGGCCCACCCUAAGGGCUUUGUCUCCCCGCAAGCACCUCUGUGAAGACUCCAUCUCCAGAUGAGAUUGCCUGCUGUGGUCCUGUGUGGUCUCGAACAGAUGGACUUGUGUGGACUUACAUGUGACCGCCGACAGAAAUUUCCCCCUCUUGGGGCUCCGUGACCGGGAUGUAUUUGGCUAAGGGCAAGAAUUCGAAUGUCCACUG
This 622-nucleotide long non-coding RNA is filed under the name Rattus norvegicus (Norway rat). RNAcentral describes it as "long non-coding RNA NONRATT017250". Lineage: Eukaryota; Metazoa; Chordata; Mammalia; Rodentia; Muridae. The record is from RNAcentral.